UGCGGGGUAGAGCAGUCUGGUAGCUCGUCGGGCUCAUAACCCGGAGGUCGCAGGUUCGAAUCCUGCCCCCGCUA
This 74-nucleotide transfer RNA is filed under the name SAR324 cluster bacterium. RNAcentral describes it as "tRNA-Met". It matches the Rfam family "tRNA". From Rfam's summary of the family: Transfer RNA (tRNA) molecules are approximately 80 nucleotides in length. Their secondary structure includes four short double-helical elements and three loops (D, anti-codon, and T loops). Further hydrogen bonds mediate the characteristic L-shaped molecular structure. tRNAs have two regions of fundamental functional importance: the anti-codon, which is responsible for specific mRNA codon recognition, and the 3' end, to which the tRNAs corresponding amino acid is attached (by aminoacyl-tRNA synthetases). tRNAs cope with the degeneracy of the genetic code in two manners: having more than one tRNA (with a specific anti-codon) for a particular amino acid; and 'wobble' base-pairing, i.e. permitting non-standard base-pairing at the 3rd anti-codon position. The record is from RNAcentral. Lineage: Bacteria; Deltaproteobacteria. RNAcentral also lists the same sequence under 5 other names.